RNAcentral lists this long non-coding RNA (535 nucleotides) under Linum usitatissimum (flax). RNAcentral's name for it is "long non-coding RNA (LUSI_LNC003560)". The record is from RNAcentral. Lineage: Eukaryota; Viridiplantae; Streptophyta; Magnoliopsida; Malpighiales; Linaceae.
UCAUAGUAUACACAAGAAAAGGUUAGAAGGAAAAACACACCAAAAAAAUGGCGAAAUUAUUCUUUCUUCAUAUUUUCACUCUCGCGUUGAUAUUUUCAGGUAGGUACAUAAUUUAUCAAAUUUUGUCAAGAAUCGCUACAUUACAUUGAAAUAAUUAGAAUGAAUAGAAGACGUCCAAAAUAUAUUGUAUACUCCAUUCAUAUGCUUUGUAAAAUCUUCCUUUUAACUUGUGUAUUAAUCUGGUGAUUCUAUGAUGUUUGAGUUGCAGGGAUGAUAGGAACUCAACAAACUGAUGCUCAAGUGAAAAGAUGCGAAAAAACACUCUAUUCAGGAUGCACAUUGGAACAUUGCGGACAAAAGUGCACUGAUAAGUAUCCCAGGGUCGUCGGAGCGACGUGCAAUCCUAGUGGAGAUACAACUCUUUGUACCUGUAUUUGGGAAUGUUGAUUCAUAUCUACUCCCCAGAAUGUAUUAGUGGCCAAUAAUAAUAAUAAUAAUAACAACGAUAAGUAAAUUUAAAGACGUGAUAAAUUUA